Molecule: long non-coding RNA, 1520 nt
Filed under: Fukomys damarensis (Damara mole-rat)
Lineage: Eukaryota; Metazoa; Chordata; Mammalia; Rodentia; Bathyergidae
Description: lncRNA (ENSFDAG00000026681.1)
Source: RNAcentral
GGAGCUACCUCGAGUUGGACCCAGUCACCUCCACCGAGGGACCUGAAGGGUAGAGGGAGACAAGCUGGCCGUGAGGGCCUUUCCUUUGUUCUUUCUGCACACGCUAAACGCUUCUAAAGGGAAGUUGGUCCGUGACCAGCUCGCCACGGUCCCGCCAGUUCACGCUGACCCCGAGGACAACUGUAGGAAGCCGUCUGAACACAGAACACAAAGCAGAGGUCUGGUCAAGUCAGGACCAACCUGGCUGACAGGAAAGAAUACCAGAGCCCUGAGCCCUGCAUCUUCCACCUUUAUCCUGAACCCUGCCUGCAUUCAAGCCUGCCCAGUUGUACCAGUGGAAGUUACUAUGACAACCAAAUCUACAACAGCGGGUAACUGGAAAACAGAAGCCAACAGUACCUCACUGGGUACUGAGGGGAAGAGCAAAGAGCCUUGGAGGAGAGGAAAAUACUCAUGAAGAAGGAUGCUCCAGACCUACUCAGAACCCCUGAAGCAGUCAACAUCCUGCACAGAUUGCCACACCACCAAUCACAGGCCAAUUCUCAGAGAUGUUUACAAUUACAGUUGCAGAGGAGCACAGACCUGCUUCUACCCCCUUAGCCGUGAGAGACAGAAGAGAUAAAUCAGCAGCAGGUGGCAUCAUAAAGGAAGCACCAGCCAGAAGGGAGUCACUUACCAUCUGCUCUCUUUCCUUCAUAAAUUUUCCACCAGAGGCUUCCCUGUUUGAUUUAACAUUUUUGAACACCCAAAGGAGUAAACUAAUUACCAUUCAUGAUAUCAAGAAACCAACAAACUUCAAGCCUGGCGUGGUGGCACACGCCUAUAAUUCCAGCACUCCGGAAGCUGAGGCAGGAGGAUCGCUGUGAGUUUGAGACCAGCCUGGGCUACAUAGUGAGUUCCAGGUCAGUCUCAACUACAUAGUGAGACCCUGUCUCAAAAAACAAAACAAAAAAAGAAAUCAGCCAGGGAUUUAGCUCAGUGGUUCUGCAGCCUGCCUCGUAAGUGCAAUGUCCCGAGUUAGAUCCCCAGUACCAAAAAAAAAAGCAAAAAAAGAAAUUUACAAAUUUCAUUUAAAAUAGGAGAGGGCCCGGGCAUGGUGGUGCAUGCCUAUAAUCCCAGCACUCUGGAGGCUGAGGCAGGAGGAUCACCAUGAAGUCAGCCUGGAUUAGUGAGUUCAAGACCAGCUUGAACUACAAAAUGAGACUUUGUCUCCCUUUUCUCAAAACAAAAAACCAACAGCAAGAACACACACACACAAACUAGGUGGUACAGAGGAGUUUUAGGAGACACUUAAAUGAUCAUUUCCAAAUCAGAGAGACAUUAAAGAUUCUCCAGCAUGAGAAGGGGUGGGAUUAACACUGAAGUAACCCUCCCAGGCAGAGGGUUCACAAUUUUCAUCUUUUUUUUGUUUUUGUUUUUGAGAUAGGGUCUCUCUACGUAGUUGGGACUGACCUGGAACUCACUAUGUAGUCCAGGCUGGUCUUGAACUCAGAGUGAUCCUCCUGCCUCAGCCUCCCGAG